RNAcentral lists this ribosomal RNA (497 nucleotides) under uncultured bacterium. RNAcentral's name for it is "partial 16S ribosomal RNA". It matches the Rfam family "Bacterial small subunit ribosomal RNA", at positions 28 to 507 of the family's 1533-position model. The record is from RNAcentral.
GAUGAACGCUGGCGGCGUGCCUAAUACAUGCAAGUCGAGCGAACAGACGAGGAGCUUGCUCCUCUGACGUUAGCGGCGGACGGGUGAGUAACACGUGGAUAACCUACCUAUAAGACUGGGAUAACUUCGGGAAACCGGAGCUAAUACCGGAUAAUAUAUUGAACCGCAUGGUUCAAUAGUGAAAGACGGUUUUGCUGUCACUUAUAGAUGGAUCCGCGCAGCAUUAGCUAGUUGGUAAGGUAACGGCUUACCAAGGCAACGAUGCGUAGCCGACCUGAGAGGGUGAUUGGACAGCCUGGAACUGAGACACGGCCCAGACUCCUACGGGGGGCAGCAGUAGGGAAUCUUCCGCGAUGGGCGAAAGCCUGACGGAGCAACGCCGCGGGAGUGAUGAAGGUCUUCGGAUCGUAAAACUCUGUUAUUAGGGAAGAACAAAUGUGUAAGUAACUAUGCACGUCUUGACGGUACCUAAUCAGAAAGCCACGGCUAACUACGUG